RNAcentral lists this ribosomal RNA (269 nucleotides) under uncultured prokaryote. RNAcentral's name for it is "partial 16S ribosomal RNA". It matches the Rfam family "Bacterial small subunit ribosomal RNA", at positions 524 to 792 of the family's 1533-position model. The record is from RNAcentral.
UACGGAGGAUGCAAGCGUUAUCCGGAUUUAUUGGGUUUAAAGGGUGCGUAGGCGGGAAAUAAGUCAGUGGUGAAAUCCUACAGCUUAACUGUAGAAUUGCCGUUGAUACUGUUUUUCUUGAGUAUGGUCAAGGAAGGCGGAAUGUGUAAUGUAGCGGUGAAAUGCUUAGAUAUUACACAGAACACCAAUUGCGAAGGCAGCUUUCUGGCCCAUUACUGACGCUGAGGCACGAAAGCGUGGGGAUCGAACAGGAUUAGGAUACCCGUGUA